AUAGAAAAAGAUUCUGUGGGGAACUGGCUGGGUUGAAAAUCAUGGCAUGGGUACCAGCAGAGUCUGCAGUGGAAGAGGAGUUGAUGCCUGGCCCUCUGCCACCAGACAGAAGGUUUCAAUCCCUCGUUAUCCCAGAGGAUGCCUCAGGAAUACCUGAGGAAGGUCCAUACCAAAGCAGCUCAAUGUCCAGAUGCUGUGGUACCUCAAACUGACCCAAAUAAGUUGAAAAGGAUGAAGUUGAAAAGGAAGCAAGGUGUGAAGGUUUCUCUUUUAGGAUGCCAACCUGCCCCUGAAGGUUAUUCCCCAAUACUUCAGUGGCAAUAGAAAGUGGCACCGUUUUCAACGUAAGACAGAAUGUGCACAAACAUAGAAGUCACUGCAAAUCACGACAGUUGGAUAGUAAUGUGACUAUGCCAAAAUCUAAAGAUGAAGAAGGCUAGAAGAAAUUUUGUCUGAGUGAAAGUUUAUAUGCUGGUGUGGUCACUGACAGCUACAAAUGAAAGUCCUAGAAUUAAUUAUGUUCAAAUUGGUUUUCCUCCCUUGGUUAGUAUUGCUAGCAGAAUGAAUCAGACAACAGUAGCUACUGUCUUGGAAUAUCUGAGUAAUUGGUUUGGAGAAAGAGACUUUACUUUGGAUUUGAGAAGAUGGCUUUAUGUCUUAUUGGCUUGCCUUGAAAAACCUUUAUUACAUGAGGUUCAUUCACUGAUUCAGCAGCUUGCAAGAAGGUGCUCUGAAGUGUGAGGCUCUUAGUG
RNAcentral lists this long non-coding RNA (752 nucleotides) under Homo sapiens (human). Its description in RNAcentral is "non-protein coding lnc-ILF2-1:1". Lineage: Eukaryota; Metazoa; Chordata; Mammalia; Primates; Hominidae. The record is from RNAcentral.